UAAAGUUUAUAAAAUUAGGUAGUAAAGAAAUAUCUGAAACCUAAAGAAUUUGGCGGUAUUUUAAAUAAUUGGAGGAACCUGUUAUUUAAUUGACAAUCCACAACAUAUCUUACCUAAAUUUUAUUUGUAUAUCGUCGUUUAGAUAAUACUUAAAAGUAAUAAUCAGAGUUAAAAAUUUUUUAGAAAUCAGAUCAAGGUGCAGUAUAUUUAGGGUAUAAUGGGUUACAAUAUAAAAAUAUAUAAUGGAUAUAAAAUUGAAAUUAUAUUGAAAGUGGAUUCAAAAGUAAGAUUAAAUUAAAAUAUUAAUUUGAUUAAUAAUUUAAAAUAUGC
Molecule: ribosomal RNA, 330 nt
Filed under: Chihuahuanus crassimanus
Lineage: Eukaryota; Metazoa; Arthropoda; Arachnida; Scorpiones; Vaejovidae
Description: partial 12S ribosomal RNA
Source: RNAcentral